UUGAGUAAUGUUGAGUUUCGGAGACUUUUAUUCUGAAAUCGCGGCACAUACCGAAACCGGAAUAGGCGCUAUUGAAUACAGAGAGAACUGUUGUUGCAUCAGUCAUUGCCGAGCGCGGCUCGUUGUCUGAAGUAGCGCUGGAAACGUGCAUUGUUGCUAUACUGAGUGUCUGACUGGAUGUAUUUGUGCUUCUGUGCGUGUUAUGAGAAGAAACCACAACCUUUAUAAGCACAACUCAUCGGCUACACACUCAUUUAAUCAGGACAUCAGUAAAUUAACAGCUCCGCAAGGGCAAUCUACAUUGUGAGGAAAGGCUCUUAUGUUUGUCUAUGGCCAAGUGAUACGCUCAUAGCACUCUGAAGGCUCUUUGGAACACUGUUUUACCCACAUACCGCAAACCAAUCUCAAGGCUGGGCCUAAACGUCAGGUCCGUGGGCUACUGGUAAUAGUGUUCUAUAAUUCAUCGUCCUUUGAACCUGUGCCCCGGAAACAAUUGGACAUUUCAGUGUACAUCUGCUAAUAUUCACAGUUGGCUCUUCUCUCUCAUGUUCAUACUUACUUGCCACAAUAAAUGUGUUUGAUUUCA
Danio aesculapii is the source of this 586-nucleotide long non-coding RNA. RefSeq lists it as uncharacterized. NCBI's taxonomy places the organism in Eukaryota, Metazoa, Chordata, Actinopteri, Cypriniformes, Danionidae. The record is from RefSeq and is a predicted model, not a curated record. The transcript has 2 exons.